CAGCCUUUUAACAGUGGUGAUUCAGGUUUCAUUCCAUUUAUAAGCCAGGUUCCUCAAGCCAGGACCUACGCACCUGUUGUGAGUGGUGUUAUAGUUCUGCAGGGCGCACAGGUGCAUCCCCAUGGGCACAUUUAAUUUAGGGAAAUCCUCAUUGACGAUUCAAUUUGUUGAAGGCCAAUUUGUGGACUCCUACGAUCCAACCAUAGAAAACACUUUUACAAAGUUGAUCACAGUAAAUGGACAAGAAUAUCAUCUUCAACUUGUAGACACAGCCGGGCAAGAUGAAUAUUCUAUCUUUCCUCAGACAUACUCCAUAGAUAUUAAUGGCUAUAUUCUUGUGUAUUCUGUUACAUCAAUCAAAAGUUUUGAAGUGAUUAAAGUUAUCCAUGGCAAAUUGUUGGAUAUGGUGGGGAAAGUACAAAUACCUAUUAUGUUGGUUGGGAAUAAGAAAGACCUGC
Molecule: long non-coding RNA, 458 nt
Filed under: Homo sapiens (human)
Lineage: Eukaryota; Metazoa; Chordata; Mammalia; Primates; Hominidae
Description: HSALNT0130836
Source: RNAcentral